This is a non-coding RNA of Pseudomonas sp. GM78, 89 nucleotides long. NCBI's taxonomy places the organism in Bacteria, Pseudomonadati, Pseudomonadota, Gammaproteobacteria, Pseudomonadales, Pseudomonadaceae. The record is from Rfam.
UUUGAUGGUGGCUGUGCGUAGGGCGUCCCUGGGCGCGCCGGCUUUCUUCUUUUCCCCGGUCUACUAACCUGCGUACAGCCGCCACCCCA